AUUGAACGCUGGCAGCAGGCUUAACACAUGCAAGUCGAGCGGGGUGAUGGUGCUUGCACUAUCACUUAGCGGCGGACGGGUGAGUAAUGCUUAGGAAUCUGCCUAUUAGUGGGGGACAACAUCUCGAAAGGGAUGCUAAUACCGCAUACGUCCUACGGGAGAAAGCAGGGGAUCACUUGUGACCUUGCGCUAAUAGAUGAGCCUAAGUCGGAUUAGCUAGUUGGUGGGGUAAAGGCCUACCAAGGCGACGAUCUGUAGCGGGUCUGAGAGGAUGAUCCGCCACACUGGGACUGAGACACGGCCCAGACUCCUACGGGAGGCAGCAGUGGGGAAUAUUGGACAAUGGGGGGAACCCUGAUCCAGCCAUGCCGCGUGUGUGAAGAAGGCCUUAUGGUUGUAAAGCACUUUAAGCGAGGAGGAGGCUCUUUUGGUUAAUACCCAAGAUGAGUGGACGUUACUCGCAGAAUAAGCACCGGCUAACUCCGUGCCAGCCGCCGCAGUAA
RNAcentral lists this ribosomal RNA (503 nucleotides) under uncultured bacterium. RNAcentral describes it as "partial 16S ribosomal RNA". It matches the Rfam family "Bacterial small subunit ribosomal RNA", at positions 30 to 523 of the family's 1533-position model. The record is from RNAcentral.